AGCGAACGCUGGCGGUAGGCCUAACACAUGCAAGUCGAACGGCAGCACAGUAAGAGUUUGCUCUUACGGGUGGCGAGUGGCGGACGGGUGAGGACUACAUCGGAAUCUACUUUUUCGUGGGGGAUAACGUAGGGAAACUUACGCUAAUACCGCAUACGACCUACGGGUGAAAGCAGGGGAUCUUCGGACCUUGCGCGAUUGAAUGAGCCGAUGUCGGAUUAGCUAGUUGGCGGGGUAAAGGCCCACCAAGGCGACGAUCCGUAGCGGGUCUGAGAGGAUGAUCCGCGAGACUGAAUCUGAGGAUCGGUCCAUACUCCAAAGAGAGGCCACCGUGGGGAAUAUUAGUCAAUGGUCGGCAGCCUAAUCCAGCAAUACCGCGUUGGUUGAGAAGACCUUCGGGUUGUAAAGCCCUUUUGUCGGGAGCGAAAGACAGCUGGUUUAUACCCCGCUGUACUGACGGUACCCAAAGAAUAAGCACCGGCUAACUUCGUG
RNAcentral lists this ribosomal RNA (492 nucleotides) under uncultured bacterium. RNAcentral describes it as "partial 16S ribosomal RNA". It matches the Rfam family "Bacterial small subunit ribosomal RNA", at positions 29 to 507 of the family's 1533-position model. The record is from RNAcentral.